RNAcentral lists this ribosomal RNA (305 nucleotides) under uncultured bacterium. RNAcentral's name for it is "bacterial SSU rRNA". It matches the Rfam family "Bacterial small subunit ribosomal RNA", at positions 333 to 654 of the family's 1533-position model. The record is from RNAcentral.
UUAGUCCUACGGGACGCAGCAGUGGGGGAUAUUGCACAAUGGGGGGAACCCUGAUGCAGCGACGCCGCGUGGGUGAAGAAGUAUUUCGGUAUGUAAAGCCCUAUCGGCAGGGAAGAAAUUGGACGGUACCUGACUAAGAAGCCCCGGCUAACUAUGUGCCAGCAGCCGCGGUAAUACAUAGGGGGCCAGCGUUAUCCGGAAUUAUUGGGUGUAAAGGGUGCGUAGACGGAAGAACAAGUUGGUUGUGAAAUCCCUCGGCUCAACUGAGGAACUGCAACCAAAACUAUUCUCCUUGAGUGUCGGAG